RNAcentral lists this ribosomal RNA (1019 nucleotides) under Microbacterium sp. NRR12. Its description in RNAcentral is "bacterial SSU rRNA". It matches the Rfam family "Bacterial small subunit ribosomal RNA", at positions 56 to 1094 of the family's 1533-position model. The record is from RNAcentral. Lineage: Bacteria; Bacillati; Actinomycetota; Actinomycetes; Micrococcales; Microbacteriaceae.
UGCAAGUCGAACGGUGAAGAGAGCUUGCUCUCUGGAUCAGUGGCGAACGGGUGAGUAACACGUGAGCAACCUGCCCCGGACUCUGGGAUAACAGCUGGAAACAGCUGCUAAUACCGGAUACGAGCUGCGAAGGCAUCUUCAGCAGCUGGAAAGAAUUUCGGUCCGGGAUGGGCUCGCGGCCUAUCAGCUAGUUGGUGAGGUAAUGGCUCACCAAGGCGUCGACGGGUAGCCGGCCUGAGAGGGUGACCGGCCACACUGGGACUGAGACACGGCCCAGACUCCUACGGGAGGCAGCAGUGGGGAAUAUUGCACAAUGGGCGAAAGCCUGAUGCAGCAACGCCGCGUGAGGGAUGACGGCCUUCGGGUUGUAAACCUCUUUUAGCAGGGAAGAAGCGAAAGUGACGGUACCUGCAGAAAAAGCGCCGGCUAACUACGUGCCAGCAGCCGCGGUAAUACGUAGGGCGCAAGCGUUAUCCGGAAUUAUUGGGCGUAAAGAGCUCGUAGGCGGUUUGUCGCGUCUGCUGUGAAAACCCGAGGCUCAACCUCGGGCCUGCAGUGGGUACGGGCAGACUAGAGUGCGGUAGGGGAGAUUGGAAUUCCUGGUGUAGCGGUGGAAUGCGCAGAUAUCAGGAGGAACACCGAUGGCGAAGGCAGAUCUCUGGGCCGUAACUGACGCUGAGGAGCGAAAGGGUGGGGAGCAAACAGGCUUAGAUACCCUGGUAGUCCACCCCGUAAACGUUGGGAACUAGUUGUGGGGUCCAUUCCACGGAUUCCGUGACGCAGCUAACGCAUUAAGUUCCCCGCCUGGGGAGUACGGCCGCAAGGCUAAAACUCAAAGGAAUUGACGGGGACCCGCACAAGCGGCGGAGCAUGCGGAUUAAUUCGAUGCAACGCGAAGAACCUUACCAAGGCUUGACAUAUACAGAACGGGAGAAAUGGUCAACUCUUUGGACACUCGUAAACAGGUGGUGCAUGGUCGUCAGCUCGUGUCGUGAGAUGUUGGGUUAAGUCCCGCAACG